UAAUGAUAUACAAGCAGGAAUUUAAACAAUUACGUCACUGUAACGCAAAAACCCUAUAGAUUUACGAAUAAUUUCGCCUUUGUAUUCUAUGCUAUUCAAACUAUUCAAACAAUCAAACAGGGUAAAUGCAUUGUUCGAAAGAAAAAAAAACUACGUUGAUGGUUUCCGUAGUACCCAUUAGAUAAUUAUAAUUUUUUCAAUUAAGAUGACCGUUUUCGAUAUUGUUUGUUUAUUUUAAUAAUAAUUGUCAAGUGUUUGUAUUCGUUGAUUUUACAAGUGCUUCACGAAUUCUGUUUACAAGCGGCUCGGAAAGACAAUUGUACUGCAGACGAAUCAUCGAACGAAUUUAAUACAGUUAUAAUAUACAAUUUAGAAAUUAGAGGUGUAGGUAGUUACUCUGG
This is a non-coding RNA of Cinara cedri, 401 nucleotides long. NCBI's taxonomy places the organism in Eukaryota, Metazoa, Arthropoda, Insecta, Hemiptera, Aphididae. The record is from the annotation of a GenBank genome assembly.